GAAGUAUGUUCCCUGGACCAGCGGUAUCAACAUCACCUGGGAAGAUGUAGAAGCACAAAUUCUCCUGCCUACUCCAGACCUACAGAAUUAGAAACUCUGGGGCUGGAGCUCAGUAAUCGGUGAUUUACCAGUCCUCCAGGUGAUUCUGAAACAUGCUCUCGUGUGAGGACCACUGCUGUAAAGGCAAGUCUGUCCACUUGUAAAACCCUGUGAUUCUACCUUGCCUGAUAAUCUUCACCAACUCGAAACUGUAGUGAACUCCGUAUCCUCUCAUUAAGCAGACCUCUUGGCCUCAAAAGGAGAUGUAAGUCCUUGGAAAGAGUUAGUGAUGCGACCACUCAAUUCCAUGGCCUCAGUGUCUUACCAAGCCCUUGACUCCUGGUGUUUGUCCUCAUAGUCCCUGUGCUCUGUGCCUGUUAUUAAGGUCAGAAGAACCUACUCCUGCACCCAAACUCACCAUCUGCUUACCCGGCAGGUGAGUUUGGGCAACAUUUUGAUUGACUUUCACCUAUUCCAGAUGAGAAUCUUGAAAAGAGAUUUGGGAACCUUAUUUCUCCUGUUUGACCACUAAAACUGUGCUUAGACCUCUCUUGCUGUACCGCCAUUGUUGUAGUAAACACCGAAGUUCCCGGUUCUGGUGCUGAAUUAGUCCCUUAACAAUAAUCUGCUAGGUGUUCUAGUCACUGACCUGCAUUCGUCCUCUAGUCCUAUUCUGGGGCCCUUAGUCUCUGUUAGGACUCAGUUGAAUCCUUCCCUCAUACCCAACAAAUUUGUAUGUUGGAGUCCUAACCCCCAGGACCUCAGAAUAUGGCUAUAUUUGGACACAGACCUUUAAUGAGAUAAUUGACUUAAAUGAGGCCAUUAGAAUGGGCCUUAAUCCAGUAUGAACAGUGUCCUUAAGAGGAGAUUCGGACACAGAUGUGCACCAAGGGAAGACCCUGUGAAGAUACAGGGAGAAGACGGCGUCUGCAAGCCAAUGAGAGAGGCCUCAAAAGAAAUCAACCCUGCCAACAUCCUGAUCUCAGACCUCCAGCCUCCAAAACUGCCAGGUGACUCAAAUGUGUGGACUUUUGCUGCUGAAGUAUUGUAAAGAUGGAUUAUUCUGACCUAGGAAGAUGUGAGACCAUGCCAGGGAGCUGAAGACAAGGUUUUCCUGAAGGGGAAAGGAAGGUUUCAUUGUGAAAGAUCUCUCUCUCUCUCACUCUGGAGAAGGAGGAGGAGGAAGAAAAUGUUCUGGAGUCUGGAAGUCCAAGAUGAAGGUGCCUGCAGAUUCGGUGUCUGUUGAGAACUUUCUUCCUGGUUUGUGGACAGCAGUCUUCUUGCUGCAUCCUCACAUGAUG
RNAcentral lists this long non-coding RNA (1340 nucleotides) under Equus asinus (donkey). RNAcentral's name for it is "lncRNA (ENSEASG00005024227.1)". The record is from RNAcentral. Lineage: Eukaryota; Metazoa; Chordata; Mammalia; Perissodactyla; Equidae.